AGCAGCCGCGGUAAUUCCAGCUCCAAUAGCGUAUAUUAAAGUUGUUGCAGUUAAAAAGCUCGUAGUUGAACUUCGGGGUUUACCCAUUGGUCAGGCUUAAUUGUCUGUACUGGUGAGAUGAAUCUCUACCUUCUGAGGAACUUUCAUGCCAUUUAUUUGGUGUGAUGGGAAAUCAGGGCUGUUACUUUGAAAAAAUUAGAGUGUUUAAAGCAGGCUAACGUCUGAAUACAUUAGCAUGGAAUAAUGAAAUAGGACGGACUGAUUCUAUUUCGUUGGUUUCUAGGAUCACCGUAAUGAUUAAUAGGGAUAGUUGGGGGCAUUAGUAUUCAAUUGUCAGAGGUGAAAUUCUUGGAUUUAUUGAAGACUAACUACUGCGAAAGCAUUUGCCAAGGAUGUUUUCAUUAAUCAAGAACGAAAGUUAGGGGAUCGAAGACGAUCAGAUACCGUCGUAGUCUUAACCAUAAACUAUGCCGACUAGGGAUCGGACGAAGUUAAUUUUAUAAUGACGCGUUCGGCACCU
Molecule: unclassified non-coding RNA, 520 nt
Filed under: uncultured Diversispora
Lineage: Eukaryota; Fungi; Glomeromycota; Glomeromycetes; Diversisporales; Diversisporaceae
Description: SSU rRNA
Rfam family: Eukaryotic small subunit ribosomal RNA
Source: RNAcentral